Mercenaria mercenaria is the source of this 1121-nucleotide long non-coding RNA. RefSeq lists it as uncharacterized. The record is from RefSeq and is a predicted model, not a curated record. The transcript is spliced from 2 exons. Lineage: Eukaryota; Metazoa; Mollusca; Bivalvia; Venerida; Veneridae.
UAUAUAUUUUUAGCUCACCUGUCACAAAGUGACAAGGUGAGCUUUUGUGAUCACGCAGCGUCCGUCGUCCGUCGUCCGUCCGUGCGUUAGUCCGUCCGUGCGUGCGUAAACUUUUGCUUGUGACCACUCUAGAGGUCACAUUUUUCAUGGGAUCUUUAUGAAAAUUGGUCAGAAUGUUCAGCUUGAUGAUAUCUAGGUCAAGUUCGAAACUGGGUCACGUGCGGUCAAAAACUAGGUCAGUAGGUCUAAAAAUAGAAAAACCUUAUGACCUCUGUAGAGGCCAUACUUAUGAAUAGAUCUUCAUAAAAAUUGGCCAGAAUGUUCACCUUGAUUAUAUCUAGGUCAAGUUCGAAAGUGGGUCACGUGUUUUCAAAAAGUAGGUCAGUAGGUCAAAUAAUGAAAAAACCUUGUGACCUCUCUAGAGGCCAUAUUUUUCAUGGGAUCUGUAUGAAAGUUGGUCUGAAUGUUCAUCUUGAUGAUAUCUAGGUCAGGUUCGAAACUGGGUCAACUGCAGUCAAAAACUAGGUCAGUAGGUCUAAAAAUAGAAAAAUCUUGUGACCUCUCUAGAGACCAUACUUUUCAAUGGAUCUUCAUGAAAAUUGGUCAGAAUGUUCACCUUGAUGACAUCUAGGUCAAGUUCGAAACUGGGUCACAUGCCAUCAAAAACUAGGUCAGUAGGUCAAAUAAUAAAAAAACCUUGUGACCUCUCUAGAGGCCAUAUUUUUCAUGGGAUCUGUAUGGAAGUUGGUCUGAAUAUUCAUCUUGAUGAUAUCUAGUUCAAGUUCGAAACUGGGUCAACUGUGGUCAAAAACUAGGUCAGUAGGUCUAAAUAUAGAAAAACCUUUUGACCACUCUAGAGGCCAUAUUUUUCAAUGGAUCUUCAUGAAAAUUUGUCUGAAUGUUCACCUUGAUGAUAUCUAGAUAAAAUUUGAAACUGGGUCACAUGUUGCCAAAAUUAGGUCAGUAGGUAUAAAAAUAGAACAACCUUGUGACCUCUCUAGAGGCCAUACUCUUCAUGAGAUCUUUAUGAAAAUUGGUGAGAAUGUUCACCUUGAUAAUAUCUAGGUCAAGAUCAGAACUGGGUCAUGUGCCUUUAAAAACUAGGUCAUUAGGUCAGAUAA